AAAUUGAAGAGUUUGAUCAUGGCUCAGAUUGAACGCUGGCGGCAGGCCUAACACAUGCAAGUCGAACGGUAACAGGAAGCAGCUUGCUGUUUCGCUGACGAGUGGCGGACGGGUGAGUAAUGUCUGGGAAACUGCCUGAUGGAGGGGGAUAACUACUGGAAACGGUAGCUAAUACCGCAUAACGUCGCA
This 189-nucleotide ribosomal RNA is filed under the name Escherichia coli. RNAcentral's name for it is "partial 16S ribosomal RNA". It matches the Rfam family "Bacterial small subunit ribosomal RNA", at positions 1 to 183 of the family's 1533-position model. Lineage: Bacteria; Pseudomonadati; Pseudomonadota; Gammaproteobacteria; Enterobacterales; Enterobacteriaceae. The record is from RNAcentral.